This is a non-coding RNA of Nylanderia fulva, 682 nucleotides long. The record is from RefSeq and is a predicted model, not a curated record. Lineage: Eukaryota; Metazoa; Arthropoda; Insecta; Hymenoptera; Formicidae.
UCUAUUGCAACAAGCGAAAAAAUAUGCAGCUGGAGAAAUAAAAGAUAUUAUAGAUUCAGAAACAGAUGACACAACUAAUUGCAGCACUGCAAGUAAUUUAGAUAUGAGUGAAACUUCAGAUACGAAAGAUCAACAUAUAUGGACUCGUGCUGAAACACUGUUACUUAUUACUUUAUAUAAAGAACACGAAGAAAUGUUCAAUAAUCCUAAGAUGUCUGCGAAACAGUGUUGGAAUAAUAUUUCCAAGAAAAUGAAAGAUGCAGGAUAUCAUAUAUCUGGAAUUAAAUGGUACUACUAAAUUCCAGUGUUUAAAAAGAACAUAUAAAUCUGUUACUGAUCAUAUUAAAAAAUCAGGAAAUAAUAGGAGGAAAUGGGAAUAUUAUGAGGUUAUGCAUGAGAUAUUUGGAACAAAACCUUCCCUUACGAAAAGGAACUAUUGCCGGCCGUGUGAUUAUUACACGCGGCUGUGUGAUUAUUACUGAUGGCUCUGUAAUUAUCAAGACGAAUAUUAUUGCCUCUAUAAUAAUUACUAGCAACGGAAUACAGACGAAUAUUACUCGCCUGUUGGGUAUCACUAGAAAGAUCACUGCAUAUGUAAUAACUACUGAGGGUACAAAUUACACGCAAAUAUUACUGGAUGUCGCUCAUGAUUAAUUCUAUUAUAUAAUAUAAGCAGAAAUAU